CGCGUGGAGCAUGUGGCUUAAUUUGACUCAACACGGGAAAUCUUACCGGGUCCGGACAUACCGAGGAUUGACAGACUGUUAACUGCAACACAAGCUGCUAAGUUUUAAACUUAAUAGCUCUUUCAUGAUUAUAUGAUAGGUGGUGCAUGGCCGUUCUUAGUUCGUGGAGUGAUCUGUCUGCUUAAUUGCGUUUCAAAAUUUAAACCUGAGCGACAAGGUGCUGCUAUCGAAACUGUCUUUGAGUGUGAACUAUAAGUCUUUUGACUUAUGACCAUCACUCUAGACGUUUAUGUUUUGGUGUUGGCCCUUGAUGCUCAUUUGAACGCAACGGACGUGAUUGCAACCCCUUGUUGAGAUUUAUCCGAUCUCUACGUUCACUGAACCACACUCUUUAGCGAGAGCAGUGGGGAUGUGGAUAAACUCGGGGGACUGCUGACUAUAAACUUUUCUCAAACCAGAGGAAGGUUGCGGCAAUAACAGGUCUGUGAUGCCCUCAGAUGUU
RNAcentral lists this ribosomal RNA (502 nucleotides) under Globigerinoides ruber. RNAcentral's name for it is "SSU rRNA". It matches the Rfam family "Eukaryotic small subunit ribosomal RNA", at positions 1174 to 1481 of the family's 1831-position model. The record is from RNAcentral. Lineage: Eukaryota; Foraminifera; Rotaliida; Globigerinidae.